This 58-nucleotide transfer RNA is filed under the name Vincenzellus ruficollis. RNAcentral's name for it is "tRNA-Ser". The record is from RNAcentral. Lineage: Eukaryota; Metazoa; Arthropoda; Insecta; Coleoptera; Salpingidae.
GAAAUAAUUAAUUUAAGCUUCUAACUUAAAAAUAAGCGUUUAAAUCGUUUAUAUUUCU